This is a long non-coding RNA of Helianthus annuus (common sunflower), 663 nucleotides long. RefSeq lists it as uncharacterized. NCBI's taxonomy places the organism in Eukaryota, Viridiplantae, Streptophyta, Magnoliopsida, Asterales, Asteraceae. The record is from RefSeq and is a predicted model, not a curated record. The transcript is spliced from 4 exons.
GCAACUUUGAGGGUCAUCCAGUUUGUGCUUCAACUGAACCAAUAACUAUUGGAGGCUAUUAUUCGAUGAUGCCAAAGGUGUUGGUGAGGUGCUAAACGAGACAAUAUGUGUCGUCAAUGAUUGCAGGGGCUUCUGUCCGUUCACAAUCUGCACGGGUCGAGAUGAUAGACGCUUUGUUUGGUGGUUUUAUUUUCAAAAGAUGAAGUUGUGUUCUUGCUUGUACGAGUGAUUGGACUGCUCGGGCCAAUCGAUUAUGAUAGGCUAGAAAGAGGUCACGAAACAAGCAAAUAUUUCACCGUUGAGUUCUGAGUUCGAUCUUUAUCUCGCAUAAACGAGGAAACAAACGAGAUGGAAUACAUAACCCCACAAGAAACAUCUUUGGAAGAACACGUACAAGUUUCCGAUAUAUUAUUACUCGAUUUUAUUGGUAACUUACUUGAGAUCGACGGGGCCUGCUUCUAUUUUAUUGAAAAUAAUGCGUUGCUCCAUCCUUUCUAGAACUUCUUUUUCAUGUAGAGGUAAAGGAGUUCCACUAUAGCUAGUAAUUAUGCAGUUGGUACUGCAAUAAUUUACCUUAUUAAAGUUUCCUGCUUUAAUUUUUUGUAGGUUGUUUAGGAUUUGUAUAAAUCCUUUUGUUCUAAUAUCAAACCAUUUUUCAUAGUC